AUACGGAGGAUGCGAGCGUUAUCCGGAUUUAUUGGGUUUAAAGGGAGCGUAGAUGGGUUGUUAAGUCAGUUGUGAAAGUUUGCGGCUCAACCGUAAAAUUGCAAUUGAUACUGGCAGCCCUGAGUACAGUUGAGGUAGGCGGAAUUCGUGGUGUAGCGGUGAAAUGCUUAGAUAUCACGAAGAACUCCGAUUGCGAAGGCAGCCUACUAAACUGCCACUGACAUUGAUGCUCGAAAGUGUGGGUAUCAAACAGGAUUAGAUACCCUGGUAGUCCACACGGUAAACGAUGAAUACUCGCUGUUUGCGAUAUACAGCAAGCGGCCAAGCGAAAGCGUUAAGUAUUCCACCUGGGGAGCACGCCGGCAACGGUGAAACUCAAAGGAAUUGGCGGGG
RNAcentral lists this ribosomal RNA (393 nucleotides) under uncultured bacterium. Its description in RNAcentral is "partial 16S ribosomal RNA". It matches the Rfam family "Bacterial small subunit ribosomal RNA", at positions 523 to 918 of the family's 1533-position model. The record is from RNAcentral.